RNAcentral lists this ribosomal RNA (397 nucleotides) under uncultured bacterium. Its description in RNAcentral is "bacterial SSU rRNA". It matches the Rfam family "Bacterial small subunit ribosomal RNA", at positions 29 to 429 of the family's 1533-position model. The record is from RNAcentral.
AUUGAACGCUGGCGGAAUGCUUUACACAUGCAAGUCGAGCGGCAGCGCGGGGCAACCUGGCGGCGAGCGGCGAACGGGUGAGUAAUGUAUCGGAACGUACCCAGUCGUGGGGGAUAACUAUCCGAAGGAUAGCUAAUACCGCAUACGUCCUGAGGGAGAAAGCGGGGGAGUCGCAAGACCUCGCGCGAUUGGAGCGGCCGAUAUCGGAUUAGCUAGUUGGUGAGGUAAAGGCUCACCAAGGCGACGAUCCGUAGCUGGUCUGAGAGGACGACCAGCCACACUGGAACUGAGACACGGUCCAGACUCCUACGGGAGGCAGCAGUGGGGAAUUUUGGACAAUGGGGGGCAACCCUGAUCCAGCCAUUCCGCGUGAGUGAAGAAGGCCUUCGGUUGUAAG